ACUUUUUUCUCCUACCUCUUUAUCCCCCUUUCCGUCCUCCCACCCUUUCACCCACCUCGGAAGGAAAGAAGAAAAGGGGAGAGGGAAAGAAGAUCGGGAGGGGUUAGGUGGUCCUAGGAAAAAGAGGAAAAAGGGGGGAGGUGGUUUCGAGAAAGAAGGCUAGGAUGGUUAGAGAAAGAGGAGAUAGUUCGGAUAGAGUUUGGUGGUUGCGGGUGGAAACGAACGGCGAUGCCAAUGUCGGAGUCCCGGAGGCUGGGGGUUUGGAUACAUAACUACAACUCCGGCAACAAGAACGAAGCAAAGUUAGCAAGAAUACUGGACCCAUCGCAAGACCGGUUUGGUAAGAAUCAACCGAUCGUUCAGAAGCUUGAACGUUGAAGGUGCCGCCGAAAAACAUGACGACGAAAACGAAUUUCUAAAGGUUCGAUUAAACGAUCUCUCAAUAUAAAAAGAUAACUUUAACCUGAUAAAUUCAUUAAAUAAAGAGGUACUGUAAAAAAAGAAAGAGGUAGUUUGGUAGGUAGGUAGGUAGGUAAGGUAGGUAUAACGGAUGCAAUAAAAAAAAAGAGACUCGGUUUCGUUUCUACGCGUCCGUCCUGUUCUUCAACGAUAACACGAGAGGAGCACAAUGGACACGAAGAUGCAGGACCUCUACCAAACAGGUUGUAAGAGAAUGGAUUACGUGAAUCACGCUCGUAUCGCGUGCAAUGCAACGGGAGCACCUGUACGCACACGUUUAUACAAAGUAUCUACAUACGAAUACUGAAAGGAAACAGAGAGUCACGUAGAAGAAAUUAAAAUUACAUGGACUUUCACAUCUCCUUCGUUGAGACGACAUUGUCUGCUUUUUACCAACCCUUGAUUAUGUACGAUAAAUGAAAGACAAACAUAGUCGUGAGGACUAUGUAUUGACUACUACGUAUUGACUAUGUCAAUGAAUAACGAGAUAGAUACACACUUCGAGCUUAAGUUUCGAGAGCUUGGCAAUUUCAAGCAUCGUUGCGUGUCGAGUAACCAUAACGCUUAUACCAACGCGAUUAGUAUUAUUCGAAGGAUUAGUAGAAGUAGAUUCCGAUAUCCAUAUAGGUGCUCGAAUUAGCUCAGAGUCAUAUCUAUUUUCGAUUUCUCGGCUCACCCCACCUACCUAACUGAAGCUCAACAACUCGAAUCGGUCGAUGAAGUUCGCAAGGGAAUUCUUGGUGCCGGGGAUAAAUAUCAAAUUUGUGGGAGACGAAACGAGUAACGACGGAUACGGAAAAGCUAGCGUUAAGUGCACACAGACGUCUCAAGUGACUAAAGUAAAAGACGACGAUUUAAUCGACUUAAGAAACGAAUCGGCAUGCAGACUUGGGCCACGUAAAUACUAUGAAUCACAUAAAUCGAGGUCUCUCAUCGUAGAUUCAAAGCUUGGAGCGUUGGGUUACGCCGAUCGUUUCUAGCUGGAGGAAAUAGUCAGAACUGAAGAAGUAUAGCUAAAGAAAAGCCUGCGAGACAUAUUGGUGAGAGUCACCACCGGAAACUGACGGGAAACUGAUCAAGUACCCGAUCCUCUCUCCUAGCACGAUAUUCCACCUGGGGAACCUGAAAAGGGGGUUGGAUGCUUUGCCCGCCUUUGGGUCAAAUGAAAGACCCUCGCGAACAACGCUCUAGUGGGACCUGCAACCCCCUCCCCUUUUAUGUAGUUUAAGUGACGUCGUUUUUUAUUCAAGGGGGCAGAGAAUAGAGGGGGAAAGAGGAGAGCAAGAAGAGGACGGAAGGUCAAAGAGAGAGAAAGAGAAAGAAAGGCUUCAAUGCUCGAUUGUCGAAGAAGCAUUGUAUAAAUGGUGGCGUCUGGUGAUUCUAAGAGUAAAGGAGAAAGAGGUAAAAUGGAAAAA
Molecule: long non-coding RNA, 1874 nt
Filed under: Polistes fuscatus (common paper wasp)
Lineage: Eukaryota; Metazoa; Arthropoda; Insecta; Hymenoptera; Vespidae
Description: uncharacterized LOC122521278, transcript variant X2
Source: RNAcentral